AAGAAUAACAUUAGAUCAACAGUAAAGGCAUUUCGAAGAUUAUUUACAAAUUUAAUUUUUGAUCACUGUUCUGUUUUCUGUUCUGGCUGGGCAUUUGAUGUCAGACUUGCUUUCAAAGAUUACUCUACAUGCUAGCUAAAUCGUCAUUCCAUUUUCAAGAUCCGACUAGAGCGGAGCUUCUCGAUUAGUUUAAAAACCAAAAUUUCCUUGAAAAUGAACACUCUGGCUCCCGUAUUCUACAACGCGGAGUCCGUGCGACGCGUCCUCAACUGGCCAAUGGUGAACGAGGCUGUCGAGGCUGCUCUCAAAGCAGUCGUCAAGCCGAAGGCCCCUGUCGGAGAUGAGCCAAUGGAUGCGAUCGGCAGCGAGCCGCAGUCGAAUGAGAGCCGCGACAGGUCCUACGUAAGUCAGCCAGCGCGCAACGUCACCGUGGCCAGCAAUGAUCCCAGCAAGCUGCUGCUGACCAUGCCAGCCUUUGUGGGCAACUAUCAGCUGACUGGCGACGGCGCUGGCGGGGAUGCAUCCAACGUUGCCCGCUCGACGCUGGCCUGCAAGGUGGUCACAUCGUUCCGAUCGAACCGGCUGCUGCAGCCGCCGCUGCCGAGCAUCAACGCCAACAUUCUGCUCUUCAAUGCGCACACAGGCGAGCUGGAGGCUCUGAUGGCCGGCACAGACAUCACCACUUGGCGCACCGUGUCCGCCUCGCUGGUGGCCACCAAAUACCUGUACUUCCGUCGCUUCGGGCCCCGCGCUGAGCAACAGCUGGGCAUCAACGUGGCCGUCGUCGGCUGCGGCGCCCAGGGCCAGCUGCACGCCGCCGCCAUGUGCGCCAACUUCAGGGUGGACAAGCUAACCCUCUACAACCGCACCCAAAUCCGGGCCGUGCAGCUGGCCAACGAGCUGCGCCAGCGCAUGGCCCACGACAGCGACAGCUGCUACGGCCCAAAGUUGCCCGACAUCAAGGUCUGCGGCUCAGCCGGCGAGGCCGUCGCCGAAGCCGACGUCAUCUGCAUCGCCACCUACGCCAAGGAGCCGCUGAUCCGUGCCAGCGAUCUGCGCAAGAAACGCUCCGUCCACAUCAACGCUGUGGGCGCUGGCGAGGUGCACUUUGGCGAGGUGUCCGACGAUAUCUAUCAGGAAUCUCUGGUCUAUGUGGACUGCAUGGAGAAUGCCAGGCACGAGCUGGUCGGUCUGCCAGCGCCCAUAGCCGGCGAGGUGGGCGACGUUAUAAUCAAUGGCAACUAUCCGGAUGAGCAGGCUCUAACCAUAUUCCAAUCGAUGGGCAUGGCCUCCGAGGAUGCCUGUGUGGCCGAGGCUGUGCAGACGGCGCUGUUGUCCUGCGACAAGUAAGUGGAAGGAAGGAAGAAAGGAAGGAGAGAGAAUUCGCAGUGAAAGGCGUUAAAGGAUGUGACAGCAUCUGCUCAACCGCUUGCCCCGCCCUCUGCCCACUUCGAGGGGGAGGGCCCCUCGCACAUUUUGCACACAUCAUCAUCAUCAUCAUCAUGAUCAUGCGAUUUCCAUUUAUAUAUAUAAUUCAAGUAUUUGUUUUUGUUUUCGUUAUCUUGUUAUCAUAGAUGCUGUUCGCCCGUAGAAACGUGGCCUAGAACCCAGUGGGAAGUGUUUAUCAUGUUUUAUUUUUUUUUUUCUCUUUUGUUGGUUUUUUUUUUUAAAUUGGCUUUUGGGUCCCAGUCUAAGCCCUUUUUGCAAGCCGCAUGCUCUUUGUUUCCCACUUUGCUUGAAAUAAUUUUUUAGCAUAA
Molecule: unclassified non-coding RNA, 1757 nt
Filed under: Drosophila mojavensis
Lineage: Eukaryota; Metazoa; Arthropoda; Insecta; Diptera; Drosophilidae
Description: GI14778
Source: RNAcentral